GAAAUCCUUUAAAAAUCAUGUAUGUAGGACAAGACAUUGGAAAUAAUUCCAUCUCAAGACUUUUCUAUCCAAAGUAGAACUUUAAACAUUUUUGACUGAACCAUGUUAGGAGAAUAAUCAUCCAUUUCUAUACAUAACUCACAUCUAUUUUUAGAUUUUGUUUAGGAGCUUGGUAUCACUAUGAUUUAGUGGUCUGUGCAUAUAAAGUGAGGUGGCUAUAAUCUAAUAAUAAUAUUUUUUUGGAGCAUCAAUUCCUGGGUCUCUUGGUGUGCCCAUUUGGACAUCCUCCUUUCUUCUUUUUGGUUUGGAUUAGGAUAUUGUAGGUACUGGCGGGUCCCCAGUGGACAGCACUGGUUCUGGAAAUCUGCAGUCACACCCAGUUAUUGUGAGUAGUUUUACACAGGAGAUACAGUGACAUCGGUAAAGGUCCCUGGAACACACAAGAUACAGUUACAUGGUAAAGGUUCCUGGAACACACAGGAGAUACAGUCACAUCGGUAAAGGUCCCUGGAACACACAGCAGAUACAGUUACAUCGGUAAAGGUUCAU
Molecule: non-coding RNA, 549 nt
Organism: Pelobates cultripes (western spadefoot toad)
Lineage: Eukaryota; Metazoa; Chordata; Amphibia; Anura; Pelobatidae
Source: the annotation of a GenBank genome assembly